This 43316-nucleotide long non-coding RNA is filed under the name Citrus maxima (pomelo). RNAcentral's name for it is "long non-coding RNA (CMAX_LNC003621)". The record is from RNAcentral. Lineage: Eukaryota; Viridiplantae; Streptophyta; Magnoliopsida; Sapindales; Rutaceae.
CCUCUUCAUAUCAGGCACCAAGAUGCGAACGCUCGCAAGGAGCAAAGAGAAUCCUCCGGAUGGAUUUAUGUGCCCUGGUGGCUGGAAAGUGCUGGUUGAAUACUACGACAGUCUGACUCCAGCUGACAAUGGCAAAGUCCCCGUUCCACAGCUUAGAUGAAAUUGUUGUAUGAUAAUGUAUUUGUCAUUUGAUUGGGAGAAACUUUACAACCGAUUUAUCUCCACUGUCAACUGUCACAUCCAGAUUGUGAAAAAAAUUCUCUGUCCAGAUUUCUUAAUAAAACCAAGGUGAGGCACUGGUACAGAGACACAAGAUUUGCCUCUUUAUGUAAUUAAAGUGCCACUCUUGUGGCAUCUUACAUUACACUGGCAUUCUCAUGUCCUCCAUGAGAUUGCGUUGUACCAUAUUUGUGGUUUGUGUUUCAAUGGAAAACAGGGGUCCUGGAUUGUCGCUUUUUAGUUUUAGAAUAUGUUCCAUUUGAUGAUAUUUGUGGAAUUUCAUUUUCUUAAAAACUUCAUGUGGGCUUUCAACUCCUAAAAGUCCAUGGGCAUCAUCAGUUGACAAAUUAUUGUUACAUCAGCAUUGAAGUGCUCUUUGACCAUCUGUCUUCACACAAAGGAAAUUAAAAAAAAAAAAAAAAAAAGCCAAACAAAAAAGGCACUGUACUACGCCGAAAACAGAUGGGGGUGGUGGAUUCUCAAUUUACCAAGUUCAUUGCUAACUGAAAGUAGAGCUUUUCUCUUUUCAAUUAAUUGCCAACGAUUAUAUAUGCUUGUGGGUUUCUUUCUUUUUUUCUUCUGACAUUCAAGAUACAAGUGUACAUAAAUGUAUGUUACAUGUUCGAUAAAAUUACACGUUUAACGCUCUAAGUAUCUCUGGUGGGUAAAUGCAAAUAUGCAAUUAUGUUGGUUCUUUGGUUUAGUUAAUGACUAUUUGAUGAGCUUUCAAUUCACUUGCAAGGGUCAAAUGUCUUGCACCUCAGGACUAGAAAUUAAAAAGAGACACAAGUCCACUCUUCCAUUCUUAGAAAAAAAAAAGGGGGGGAUGUUUUAUGAACUACAGUACUUUUUAUUUCAAGCAUACAUGUGCUAUAAAUUAAAACUAAUCAGCUGCAAAGUCUCAAUACGACAUAUAUACCGGGAAAAUGUAAGAAUUGCUGAUAAAAGAAUUUAAAGAACAAUCUAUAACUACAAGCCUACUUCUUCCACUUGAGAUAGCUGGAAAACGGUUUCGCUGGAACGGGUAUGCACUUGACCAGCCAACCAAUUGGCCAAGAAGCAGCUGCGAAACCAAUACAUGCGCUCCAUUGGCCCCAGUUCAGCCUCUCUGUAUCUGCAAACUUCUUCAGAAAUUCCACCAUCACCACUUGAAGAACAAUGGUUGUCCCGAUAAUCCCCAGAAACAGCCUGUUCUUAUGUAUCCCCUCAAAGACAUUCUUCUUUUCAAGCUUCCUCGCGUUGAAUUCGUUGAACACCUGGCAAAGGACAAAUGUGUUGAAGAUCAAGGUUUCCUUUACCUCCUUAUUUACAAGAAAGAUGGAUUCACCUCUGAACUGUAAUGUCAAGAGGACUGCUCUCUGAUAUAAAGCUUGGGCCACAAGGUUCCUCCACAUGAUGUUGGAGAUAAGUGGCUCAGUUCGACCAACGGGUGGUUUGUCCAUGAGCUCCUUGGUGGGCUUCUCUGUUGCCAGAGCGAGGGCGCCUAGCGUGUCCAUGAUCAGAUUCACCCAAAGUAAUUGGACUGCUGUAAGAGGGAUUUCCCCUGCGUAAACUGCUGCGACAAAGUUGAUUAGAAGAGCAGCAACGUUUGCCGUAAGCUGGAACUGAAUGAGUUUUUGGAUGUUGGUGUGGACACAUCUUCCCCAUCUCAACACUGUGGCUACCGAAGCAAAGUUAUCAUCCAAGAUGACAAUAUCCGAGCUCUCCUUGGCCACUUCCGUUCCUUGGAUUCCCAUGGACAGUCCUAUAUCUGCUUCCUUCAGAGCUGGUGCAUCGUUUGUGCCAUCCCCGGUGACAGCAACCACAUGACCUUUCUGUUUCAAGCACUGGACCAUGAGAAGCUUAUCGAAAGGAGAGGAUCUCGCCAUCACGCAGAUUUUGUCAACUUUCUCCAUUCUCUCCUCAUGUGUAUAGCUUCUGAAUUCCUCUCCUUCUAGCACAGCACCAGUGGACGUGUCCUGACCUGGCUUGAGUAUUCCACAUUCAGUGGCUAUGGCUUUCGCAGUGAACACGUUGUCUCCGGUGAUCAUCUUGAUGUUCACUCCAGCAUAUUGGCAAUCUUCCACAGCUUUCUUUACCCCUGGACGACAUGGGUCCUUAAUACCCACCAAUCCUAAUAGGGUUAAGUUGUCUUCAAUUAGCUUCUUCUGAUCUUUUUCAUUUCGAUGCUCUUCUUCUGGAACUUGUUUGUGCGCAAAAGCUAUGCAUCGGAGGCUGCUAGACGCCAUGCCUUGAAUAAUUUGCUGAAAUCUUUCCUUUUCAUUAUCAUCCAAAUUUUUUAUGUUUCCAGAAGCAUCAUAGUAACUUGAACACAUUGCUAGAAUCAUCUCUGCUGCUCCUUUCCAGUGCACGUGGCUUGUGUUGUCCGUCUUCUUCUUCAUCAUGACCCCACUACGCUUCUUUUUCGAAUUGAAGGCUUCCACAUGGAGAACGAUAACCAUCAGCCACCUUUGUGCCAGAGAACAAGAAUGGAUUCUGGCUGCUGUUAACCUCCACAUGAUCACUCUCCCCUGUCAUGCUUGAUUCGUCUACUUGUAACGAAUGGCCAUCUAAGAACAAUCCAUUAGCAGGUACUUGAUCUCCAAUCUUUAAACAUAUGACAUCUCCAACGACAAUUUCAAAGAUAGAUAUUUGUUGGCGGCGACCUUUUCUAAUGACAUCAAUUUGUAUAUUGUUGCUGACUUUUGAAAACUUAUCAAACUGUCGAUUCUGUGUAAAGUUGCUUCCAGCUGAAACGGCAAUGACCAAAAAGACAGCAACAAGUAUGCUUCCACCCUCAUACCAUCCCUCUUUCAAGCCAUGCUCCUUAAUGCCGAAGGCAAGAGAAAGCACAGCACAGCCUAAAAGAAUCAAGAUGGUAAGAUCUUUAAGAGCGUCCACAACAAAGUAGAACAAGCUCUUAGAUGGAGGUUUCUUGUACGUGUUUGAACUAAAUGCUUCAUGUCUCCGAGCAAUAUCUUGAUCAUUGCCAAAGAUUCCAGCAUCAAAAUCUGUUUCGAGAGCAGAGGCUACGCCGCGAAUCCCGCCAAACUCGUGAAGUUUGUCGAGAUCUUUCAUCUUCACAAGCUCAACAAGACUCGUUUGAUCAAUCUUGAAUGAUUCAUCAUCGUGUUGAAGAUUUACAACGGUGUAAGAUGGAGAGCGGGAAACCUUGUUGACACCCUUCUUGGCUUUAGCAAUUUCUGCUAGUGAGAAAAGUGUUCUGGAGCAGUAGAUUUUAGUGAAAGCUGAGUGCCAUUUUUUGGUGGGCACGUUAUGGGUGGCCGGAAAAUUGAGCAAAGACUCUAUGGAAACAGCGUUUGCAUGGAAAAUGGUAGACAUAGACAUAGUAUUGUGAUUGAUAGGAGACAAAAUGAAAUUAUAAAAGAGAAGAAACAAAGAUGAUUUGAAAAAUAUUUAAUCUGCACUAAUUGGACAAAGCUAGGAAUUUGAGAAUACUUAAAAAUAGAUAAGCAAAUAACAAAAUGCUGGGAGGGAUGUGUAAAGCUUCAAUUGGUUCGUAUUUAUUUUACGUAGAAGUGCGCUAGUCGGUUUGUGGGGGUUUCGCUGGAGAUCACGCAUGUGACUGCAUGUCUGCUGGUUUUGCUGACUUUAAUUACUAUGGCUGCUUGUUCACACGACACGUUUGCAAUUACUUUUGCCACGUAUAAGUCCUCGUUGUCAAGGCCUGUGAGACUUGUGGGUCCCACUGUACCCCUCUAUCCGUUCAUGUCAUCGUGUUAUAUGAUACUGAUAGUCCGAGGUGGAGCUGCAAAAGCGGAUUAGCUUUUUUUGUUUUUGUUUUUAAUACCAAUGCGUCUUAAUUUUUAUGUCACAGUUGUUAUAAAAAAAAAGAAAUUAUCAGUUAUAUAUCUUUAAAUGACACUCGUAUCAAACGUGUGUGCAGGGACGAAGCUAACACCAUUUUUUAGGGUGGACUAAAAUUUUUUUAAUUACUAUCCAUACCAGGCAUGCACGCUACCAACUAUUCAUACAUGUUUGAGAUAAACCAACAGUUCAUCCGGAUUAGAAAGACUUUCUUCAAUUACAGGGUCUUCCUUGAAAAUUCAAAUCAAGCAUGCAAAUUAGGAAAUUUAUGUAAUUAACUAAAAUAUUAUUUCCAAAAAUCUUACCCUGGCUACAGCCUGGGUAAGCCACCCUUUAGCUUCGCCCCUGAGUGUGCGAACACUUUUCAAGUGUAUUACUCGCAUACUCUAAAUUGACAAAACACUUCGGUCGUCCACCAAUCUGUUAACUUCCGUUAGAAAGUUAACAGAAUUAUGGUAAAUUGACUAUUUCGCCCUUGAAACUCAAAAUGAGGUAAAAAAAUAAAUUUAUCCAAAAAAUUAACGUAAAUUUUCAAUACACAAUUUUUUUAUUUUUUUUAUUAACAAUACAUUUUUUGAUUAAAAAUGAAUUAUUAAUGGUACAUAAUAUUAACAAUUAUCCAUAAAAAAAUAUCCAUAUUAUACCAUAAAAAAUUAUUAACAACAUAUUAUUUACAAUUAUACAUAUUAUACCAUAAAAAAUUCCAAUUGGAGCUUGGAGGAGUAGAUCUUCAAAAAUUUAGGUUAAAUUUUAGAGGAAUAGAUUCGGUUGUAAAGUUUUUUUUUUAGCAAUUAUUAACAAUUAUCUGAUAAAUGGGAUGACAUGUCAUGUUUAUUAAUAUAUAUCAUAUGACAUGUCAUUUUUUACUAAGUAAAUGGGAUGACAUAUCGUUUUUGUUAGUCAAAGUUUCAUUCAUCUUAAAAAACUAGAUUACCCUUAUGAUGUCAGUGCUUGCAAACGGAAGUUAACAGAUUGGUGGACGACAGAAGUGUUUUGUCAACUUAGGGUAUACGAGUGAUACACUUGAAAAGUGUUCACACACGUUUGAUACGGGUGUCAUUUAAGGGUAUAUGGCUGAUAAUUUUCUUAAAAAAAUUAUAAUUAUAAAAUAUAAAUUAAUAUUGUGUAGUAGAUAUAAUUUUUAAAUAAUAAUUUUCAUUAAAAUAGUAAAAAUAUCAUAGGUUAUUCAUCAUAUAAGUGUUUGAUUAAUUCAACAUAACUUUCAAGCCAUAAUAGUUAAUGUUUACUAUAUAUUUUAAUGCUGUACAUUUUAAACUACAGCUAUAUAACCUCAAUAUCAACAUAGCCUUACUUAUACUUUCAUCUAAUAAAACAUUAUUAUUUAUAUAAUUUUCUAUAAGAGUAAAUUUAAAAUAAAUAAAAUUUUAUUAUUGGUGCAUGAACUUUCUUCUAUAUAUGUAUAUUUUUUUUUCUUAUUUGAUUAUAAGCAAAAUAAAAAAUUGAGAUCCCUUUAAAACUUGUUUGGUAAAUUUAGAUUGAGAAUUAUGAUGAUAUUCCUACAACUUAACGCAAGUUUUAAUUAUUUUUUUUUUCAAAUUCAAUAUACUUUGUUUGAAGAAAUAUUAAGUAAUAAUAACCAAAAAUAGUAUCAAUAUUCGAUCGUAAUAUUGGUAAUGUAUAAAAAGUGAAAGGAGUUCUAUAUGACUUAACUCUUGUUGAUUUAAUUUAUAUUCGAAUUUAUUUUUAUCUUAAAUGAUAUAUCAUUCAUUGAUUGAAUGAUGAAACAUAAUAAUUAAUAAUUUUAUUAUUGAUAGAAACUUAUCAUCGAUGAAUGGCACCUUAACUUGGUAUCGGAAAAGUUGAUUUACUAGUAGAAAAAUUAAUGCAAUAUUUAUUCAUCCAUUGAAUGGAACAGGAAACGUAUCGAUGUUGGAUUUCCAAGAAAUGACCAAACUAAAGUCGCGUCCGGUGCAAAGAAAAUGCUAUGUGAAUGUAUAUUCCGAGUCCACUGACAUAGUGGAUGGAAUAAUGCGUAAUGGGUCCGCCUAAGUUACAUUUAAUGUAACUUAUGGUCUGGUUGUACAAUUUCAUCCAACCCCCAUAUUUGAUGUUAUUUAUAUUAUAUUAAUGAAUAUUAUAAAACUUUUUGAUUUAGAAAAUUUCGUUUAACCCCUUAUACUUAAUUUUAUUUUAUUGAAACCUUAUAGUACGAAUUCGCCACCUAUAAUUUUAAAUUCUCAAAAUAACCUCAUUUAAUUAAAUUUUUAAUUAUUAUUAAUUGAAUUAUAAUUAUAAUUAUUAUUUUAUUACAAUCAUAAUCAUAAAUAUAUUUAUAUUUUUUAAAUAGAUUAUUGUUAUUAUUAAUAACAAGAAUAAAAAGUAUUACAAUUAAUUAAUCUAUUAAUAAUAAUUUUUAUUAAAUUGUUAAUAAUAAUAAUAAUGAACGAUAAUUAUUAUUAAUAAUUAAAUUUUGAAUAAUAAUAACAAUAAUAAUGAAAAUAAAAAAUAAUAAUUAUAAUAAAAAUUAAUUAAGGAUUUUAUAGCAAUUGGUUUACAAUUUUAACUCAUUCUGAUUUUGUUUCUAAAAUAAAAUAAACACAUAAAUGGUAAUACAGCUUAUUCUAAUUACGAUUUCUUCAGUUUAAGUAAAUAAAUUAUAAUGUUAUUUUGUUUAUUUAUUUAUUUUUCUCUGAAACGUUUUCUAGAGAGAGAGAGAGAGAGAGAGAGUGUGUGUAGAUUUUUUUAACUUUUGAAAAUAAUCACGUUUUGUAAGAUCUUACAAUAGAAUAAGAUGCAGAUCAAUUUUAACUCGAUGAAAAUAUAUUGGUUGUUAGAAAAAAAGUAAAUUAAAAAUAAAUAUUUGAGAAAAUAUAUUAUUAAAUGAAUUUUAAUUAUUAUUAAAUGAAUUUUAAUUUAUUUACUUUAAAUGAAGAAAUCGUAAUUAGAAUGAGUUGUAUUAUCAUUUAUGUAUUUAUUUUGUCUUAGAAUUAAAAUCAGAAUGAGUUAAAUUAUAACCAAUUGCUAUAAAAUCCUUAAUUACUUUUUAUCAUAAUAAUUAUUUUUUAUUUUAAUUAUUAUUAUUUUUAUUAUUAUUAUUUAAAUUUUAAUUAUUAAUAAUAAUUAUGGUGAAUUAUUAUUAUUAUUAUUAAUUUAAUAAAAAAUAUUAUUAAUUAUUGUUAAUAGAUUAAUUAAUUGUAAUACUUUUUAUUCUUGUAAUUAAUAAUAACAAUAAUCUAUUUAAAAAAUAUAAAUAUAUUUAUGAUUAUAAUAAAAUAAUAAUAAUUAUAAUUCAAUUAAUAAUAAUUAUAAUUUUAAUUAAAUGAGGUUAUUUUGAGAAUUUAAAAUUAUAUGGGGCGAAUUCGUACUCUAGGGUUUCAACAAAAUAAAAUUGAGUGUAAGGGAUUAAACGAAAUUUUCUAAAUCAGAAAGUUUUAUAAUAUUCAUGAAUAUAAUAUAAAUAACAUCAAAUAUGGGGGCUGGAUGAAAUUUUACAGUCAGACCGUAAGUUACAUUAAAUGUAACUUAGGCGGACCUUAGUGGAAUGUGAAAUUUCCCCAGCAGUACCGGCCGAAAAUGAAACAUUUCAUUCAAAGUCAGUGAGCCGUUUAGAGUUGUUAUAUUGACUAAACAAAACUUAAUUUCAUUCUUCAAGUUCAUAGGUGGAAUGUAAGAUUAAGAAAUUGGUGCCAAAUACAAUUGACCAAAGUUUUCAGAAACACGAGUUUCUUGAUAAAGCAAUAUCUCUUUUGGACGUAUUUACUUGCAAAACAUUUAUUUAUUGCAUUAUGGUGAGCGGGUGUUAGUCGACUUUUUCAUGCAGUUGUGAGAAAAUGGUUUUGGUAUCAGAUCCUGGAUUAAUAUGUCUACAUAUAUACUUUUUGAGAAGCAUUUGAAUCAGAUUCUGCACUUUCAAUUCUGAAGAAUAAAGCGCUCAAAGAUUUUUAGUUAGGGAAAAAAAAUAAAAUGUAAAAUCACCCGGAAAUGCAUAAGCAAAAUCCUAUAGAUUCUUUGUUAUGAUGAGAAAUUUACUUACGUAAGCGUGUUUCUGAGAAAGAAACUUUGGGAUAAUAAAAGUUCCUUGACAAAUUGAGUUGUCCCCCGGCCAGUGUCAGCCCGUUUCUUAUUCAUGAAAUGUACGGGUUGCUUACCCUGCUUACUGUCUUCACAGUUCUUUUGUAAGAGCCCCUUUUUAUAACAAAAAAUAAAAAUAAAAGUUCCUUGACUAGCGUGAGUUGCCUUUACUGAUAUGAAGUUGCUCAGGGCGGGCAAAUGACUUUUGACUCCAGAUUCUGAAACAUUUUCGACCUGCAGGUUUUUUUUUCUUCCAUCUUGUGACAAUUUCAUGUCCAACUCAUCAUCUCUAUCCAUUAUGAUGACCCCAUACUUAUGAAUUUCCAAAUUUUGUGGGAAGGUUUGUUUAACGGUAAUAUAUUAUUGUUAGGGGUGGCAAUGUUAUCCGUAAAUUUAUAAAUUUGUCUAAAUCCGCUUUGAGUAAUUUUCUAGAUUGUGGGCAUAUUUAGUAUUAUAACUUGAAAUCCGCAUUAGACAACGAGUGCAUUUGAUAUUAGCCAAAUAUCCAGUGGAUACCCGCACGAGCAUCUAGCAAAUGCGCAACUUUUUUUUUUUUUUUAAAUUUAAUUUAAAUUAAAAAAUACUUAAAUCUACAAAUAUACUUAUAUACUUAUUAUAAUUUUGAUGGAAUUUUCUUUAACUCAAUGUAUGAAUUAUUGCAUUAUUAUAAUUUUGUUCUUUAGAUUAAUAUUUAAAAAUUAUUAUUCUUUAGAAAAUAUUAAUUUUAAUCAUUAAUGUGAGAAUCGUGUUGAAUAAGUGUUAAUGGUGAUGAUGAAAUGAAGAUUUUCUCUUAGGAGUUUGUGUUGAAUGAUAAUAUGAAAUGAUAACUGUUAUUUUUAGAUACUAAUUUGUGUCUUUUUUUUUUUAAUAGAUUUGUAUAUUUUAUACUUAAAUUUAAGAAUUUGUGUUGAAUUGAUGUUGAAAUUUUAAUUUUUCAUUUACAUUGGUUAAUUAGAAUUGAUAUGUUAUGUGGAAGUUAAGAUUAUUAUUAUAAAUUUACAUAUUAAAUAUUUAUGAUUUUAAAUAUAAAAACCCGUAAAAAAUUUAAUAAAUACCAUUGCAGAUUUGAUAAUUGUCAAAAUUUGUAGAGAGUAGAUUUUCUUAAAAAAUUUAAAAUCUACAGUAAAUUACGAGUGAAUUUGAUACUUUAAAUUUUAUGCGGAUGUGAGCUUGCUAAUGAUGAAGCCGCUACCGGCUGUGCCCAUUACCACUGGAGGGUUGUGAUUCAAAGUUUAUAUUUAUAAUUUAGUUGAUGUGACUUACAUAUGAUGUCAUGUAAUUGCAAAUUAUUAUGCGUUAAGCAAUUACUUACGGCACCGCAUAAUUUUUCUGUCAGUCUGAUGAUAUUCAGGAUGGUCACGUACGUUACGUUGAUUAAGAAUAUAACAUAAGUUUAUAUCUUAACUUUAUAAAUGAGAACUAUUUCUUAUUUGAUUAACUUAAAAAAAUUUGGCUAAUUGUUUGGGGCGGGACUACUGAGAUAUGAGUCUACCACAUCAUUUGUACGACUAUUUAAUAAUAAAAAAGUUUUAAAACACAUUCAUUAUUUUAUUAGAUGAUCUUGCCUGUCUUGAAAGUUGUCAAAGUUUAAAAUAUGUAUCAUAACUACGCGUCCAUUGUAGUGUUUUCUAGAAAAUUUUAAAAUUCCUCGGCUGAGGCCCAGUUAUUUAGAGUCAGGCGGAUUAUUUCACCAUAAAUUAAGGUAGUGUUUAUUUUUUAGAUUGGAGUGCGAAUCCUGAAAAAUAUGAAUCUUAGGAUUGGGAGUGUGGAGUGAGAUUGAGAGUAGAUUGUUUACUUGCACUGGAAUUGAAGCAUGGAAUGAAGAUCAGAAUCCAAUUUAUGUGUUUACUUUGUCUUAGAUUAGGAGUAAAUAGUUUCAAAUUACAAUUUUAUCCUUAUUUAAAGAAUAAUAAUUUUUAAUUACAAAGUUAAUAAAAAUAUAUUUAAUGAAUAAACAUUUAUUUUAUUAUAUUUUUAAAUUUAUAAUAAUUAUUAAUAUUCUUAAUUAUGACCAUCACAAUUUUUAUUAAUUUUAAUUUUAAUUAUAUAAAUUAAAAAUUGUUGAUAAGGGCAAUAUAAAUGAAAUAUUUUUACUAUUAACAUAGUAUGAAAUUAAUAUUUUCUUAGAAUAAACUAUUUAUUAGUAUUAAUUAUUAAUAUUAAAUAAAUAUAAUACUAUAAUUUUUAAAUAAAUAUAAUAAUAUUACAUUUUUCAAAUAAAGAUGGUAUAUAAUAAUAUUAUUAAUUCUCUAUUAAUAUAAUAAUAUUAUUUUAAAGUAAAUUAAACUUAGAAUCAAACCCAAUUAUUAUUAAGUUAAAUAUAAUAAUAUUAUUUAAAUAUUUAUUAAAUAUAAUUAUAGUAAAUUUAAUAAAAAGAAGGGUAAAUAUAAAAUGAAACAUUAUUUUAUUUAAUAUAAUUAUAUUAAAUUUAUUAUUUAUUAAUAUAAUAUUAUUUAGUACAAAAUUAAUAUUUUCUUAGAAUAAACUAUUUAUUAUUAUUAAUUAUUAAUAUUAAAUAAAUAAAGUACUAUUAUUUUUAAAAUAAAUAUAAUAAUAUUAUAUUAUUAAAUAAAGAUAGCAUAUAGUAAUAUUUAUUAAUUCUCUAUUAAUAUAAUAAUAUUAUUUUUAAGUAAUUUUAACUUAUAAUCAAUGCAAAUUAUUAUUUAGUUAAAUAUAAUAAUAAUAUUAAAUAAAUAUAAUAAUAUUUAUUUUAUUUUAUUAAAUAUAAAAUAUUAAAUCAAAUUAAAUUAAAUUAAAAAAAAAGAGUAGAAAACCCACUCCCACCUCUCCCAUGGGAGUUCCACUUCCACUCCCCACUCUAAAAAUGGGUGAGGCCCACGGAAUGAGAUUCUGAAUUCUUUCCUAAUUAGUUGGAGUAAACACUGGAGUGGGAGGAAUCCAUACUCCUCACUCCCACUCCAGAAAGUAAACAUACCAUAAGAGAAGUGGAAGAGGAUUAGGAUUUAAAAGUCAAGCCAAAUUAGUAAACUGGGGUCCCCCAUUGUAAGGAUAAGCUCAAAUGACCCGGAAUUGGCUGCCGAAACGCCCAUACCUGAUCAAUUUCUGAGGAGGGCCGCCAUAUUUGUCGCCAUAAACAAAAAGUUUAGCAGAAGAGAAGGAAAUGGAAUCUUUCCUAGAUCCAAUGCUUGACAAAACAUCCUUAAUUUCAGUUCGCAAACUUUAUUAGCUACUAAUUAGAUUCAUUAGGAGAACAACAAAGACACUUCCCCCAUAUGGGUGCAGAAUGCUCUAAUCAUUUCAUCAACUAAUCCUUUUGUGUUUAAAUAAAGUGAUAUGUGAAUUUCCACCAAGUCUCUUCUUUCUGAUCUAUCAACUUUACAUUAGAAAAAACAAGUGUGUGUGAGGGUCCAAAACGCAUCACUUUUGAGCAUGGCCAGUGUAACACCCGGUGUUUUUGUUUUAUUAUUAUUAUUAUUCUAUUUUAUAGAAUAUAUUAUCUUGGGUUAAUAUAUUUAAGGGUAUUUUAUUUUUAUUUUAUUAUACUGUAUUUUAUUUUUUAAAAUGUCAAAUCACUUAACAUUUUUCCUUUUCAUUAAAUACUUUAUUUAAAAACAAAAUAAAUUCCUUAAUGGGUAAGGGUAUUAAAAAGGCUGGACUUAUAAAAAAAAAAUCCUAUACGCUUAUUUUAUUUCUCAAAACCCUAGAGACUAAUAAUGAGGAGAGAUUAUAAUAACAAACACAACAAUAAACUCAUGUUUUUCACGAAGAGAGGGGAAGAUUUUGAUUGUAUUUCUGUUUUUCCAUCAAAGAAGUUCUUGAGUUCUGAUUUUGUUUUGAAGGUACAUAAAAAUUUAUAAUCCUUUGAACUUCUGGUUUUGAUUGUGAUUUUAUGUGAUUGAUUAGAUGACUUUGUAUGUAUUAUUUUGAUAAAAGUGUGAAACCAUAAUUAUGUAUUGAUUUAUGUUGUUAUUGAGUGAAAGUAGUGCUAUUAUAUUAUCUUGAAAAACUCUAAACAAUAUAGAUUCAAUGCAACAUUACUGCUAUUUUCAUUAAGUUUCAUGCAUAAAACUUUAUAGUUUAUUAAAUUAGACAUUUUUAUCUUUCUAUCCGUGUGUCUAUCGUUCUAAAACUCAUUGUGUAUAGUUGUUUUGAUUUUUCGAAAUUGGAACACUGGUGCUAGAAAAUUUUGAUUUUUAGCAGUAAUUAUCAUUUCUAUAAUUUAUUUCAUAACCCAUAUGACUCCUGAAAAUUUUGGGAACUUUUAUUACAAUACACAUUUAUGUACUGUUUAUGUAUUUUUGAUUUCGUAAUUUUUGUCUUUAUAUAAAAAUCAUUAAAAAUCAUAGAGUUGGGCUGCUGCAAUCUUGGAAACUGUUUUCUAUAAUUGCAAGGGCUGAUAUUUAAGCGAGUUUGGGUUAACUUUUCAUCACUAAAUGCCUUAUAAAUUUUAAUUUUGAUUUCUUAUUGUCUCCUCUGAUCGUCAAAAUUGGAAUCACUAUUUUUGAACUUGUAUAACUAAAGUUAUGAAUUUUUGAAUUAGUUGUCCUCUGUUUAUAUUGUCACUGGACAACUUUGAUGCUUUUGUAAAAAAUCAAUUUUUGGAGAUGUUUAUGAACUCUAAUUAAUUUUGUUUAAUUUUAUAUUGAUUGCCAACAUGUUUACAAUAGCUUUUUGUAAUAUUUGUAAUUUUUCCGAUACAGUUAUAGCUUGUUGGAAAUCAACUCCUCUAUGAUAGUUUAGCAUAGUUUAGUGAAUUGAUGUGCUUAAGUAAGAGUUCAUGGUUUAAGAAUUUUUGGGCUUUCCUACCAAGGUCAGAAUUGAAUAAGAUAUUGAUAAGCAUCUUGUCUUGAUAAUUAUAUGCCAAGAGUGACCUCGUGCGGUUGAGGUUAUUGUUGAUUGCUUUGGAUCAAGGUAAGUGAAUUUAUGCAUAAUGUUUAUUAUAAAUAUAUAUGUAAAUAUUUAUGAAUAGAAUAAUAUUAUUCAAAUAGAUUGGCAAGUUAUGGUUUUGAAGCUAUUUUAAAACAUUUUCUUAAAUUUGUUUUAAGAAUAACUUUAAAUUACUUGUUUUCUAUAAAAUAUUUUCCUGAAAAAUAAUUGUAAAGCUUUGCCAAUUCAUGUCUUAUAAGCGUUUUAUCGAAAUAUUACUAAAUGACUGAUAUUACAAGACUAAAAAUCAUUUUUGAAGGUUUUGGCUCAUUGUUCGUAGUUAUCGUUACUGAUAUUAUUGAAUAGCUAGUUGUAUUAUAGGCACCUAUUGACAUUUAUUGCAGGGUAAAGUACCUCGGUUGAACUAUUGGCCGAGUCACCAAGAUUACAGAUGACAUAUUGAACUAUUGCCCUGAUCACCAGGAUUACAGGUGACAUAUUGAACUUUGGCCGGCCGGUUCACCGGGAUUACAAGUGACAUAUUAAACUAUUGGCCGAGUCACUGAGAUUACAUGUGACAUAUUAAACUAUUGACUAGGUCACCGGGAGUACAUGUGACACUAUGAGGUAUGAGCAAAUUGAACGAAAUAAAGAUUUUAUUGAUAAAAGAUUUCUUAACGAUUAUUCAUUGAAAAUGAUCAUUACAUUAUGACUUAACUAGUUAUGAGUUUUGCCGCACACAUAUGAUUAUAAAAUGAUUACUGUUUCUUGACUCAUGGUACUUCAUAAUAAUGAUUAUAUACUUUUUCAUUAUUUGUAACCUUAUGCAUGUGUUUGCUUACUGAGUUGACGGCUCACUUCUCUUCUCCAACAUUUUGCAGAUUGAUUUUAAAGAUGUGGUCUUUUGGUCUAUCAGAGAGGAUUUUUAGUUGAAAAUUUUUGGCAUUUUCUAAAUUAAUUAAUUGUAGUUACUUUAAUUAUUGCUUAGAGCUGGAUUUUAUUUUGGAGGAUUAUUCAAUUAUUUAUUAUUUAAGAGACUAUACUUUGUUAAUGGACAACAUCAACUUUAUUUGGGAAUAGUAAUAAGAUUAAUAUUAUAAGAUUUCAUUCCAAAUUUCUCUUGCGAUUUUUAGGUGAAUUUAGGGUGUUACAAUUAGAGCUACAGUGUUUCAAGGAAAUGCACAGUUUUUUUGCUGCCCUUAGCCUUAAAAUUUUUUUGCUGCCCUUAGCCACCCCACAUUCAGCAAGCUUAAGGGUGCGUUUGGGAUUGAGGUGCUGUAGCUUUUAAGCUACAGCUGCUGUGAAAAAAAAGUUGUAAUUAUGAAACAAAAGUUAAUAAUAUAUAGUAAAUAUAAAUUUUAAAUAAUAAUUUUGAUAAAAUUAUUAAAGAUAUAAUAAAUUUUGUAUUAUACAAGUGAAAAAUCAUAUCAACAUAGCUUAAAAGCUACAGUAGCUAGUGUUUACCAAACACUUUAGUGCUGUAGCUUUUAAGCUACAGCUGCCCAACCACAAUCCCAAACGCACCCUAAAUAGGUUUUAUCCACAAGAUGAGUAUAAUGAGCACUCUAAUAUUUAAAAUAAUUUUUAGUAAAAAAAAAUCAAAUAUAUGGUCAACGACCCAACGUUAAAGUCAAGUAUAAAAUUGAAGUGCAAGAAGACGAUCUCCAAUUUUCCGCAACUCAAUUAUUGUUUGGCGUAGUCAGAACUAUGCAUUUAAGAUUAGAAUUAUAUAUUUUACGUCAUUGAAUCGCGCAAUUGCGAAUUUGAUCGCCAAUUUGGCAUUUUUUGUUUCACUGUUUGAAAAUUUUUUAUGAUAUUUUUAAAUUUUAAAAAUUCGAAUAAAUAUUAUGAAAUUUGAAUAUCAUCAUUUUUUAUGUCUCUAUUCAUUGGGGUCAUACCACAACACUUACUAUUUAAAGACACUUACUGAAUAAUGUUGAUCUACAUGUAGAUAGAUCGUGAUAUCUUUAUAAGAGUAAUGUUAUACGUCCUAAAGUUUUAUAUCAAAAUUUAAUCUUAAAUAAUAUGUUAUUUAUCAAAUAAAUAGUGGAAUGAUAUAAUUUAAUUCACUUGAAAAUUAUAAAAAAAAUUAUUAACAAUUUGAGAAAGGAAAAGCAGCAGAGGUGGAAUCCUCCCCCCAGGGCUGUUUUUAAAGUCAAUGUUGAUGCAGCCACCAAUAGCCAACAGAAGAAGGUUGGAUUGGCAGCAGUUAUAACCAACUCAAAAGGCAAGAUUAUAGUUGCAGGCAUUAAUUAGUCUCAUUUAAAGGAAGACAUCAGUAUUGCAGAAGCUGAAACAGUUGAGUGGGGUCUUCAGGUGGCAAGGAAAUUAACUCUUCCAUGCUUGUUAGGAGAAAGAGUAAUAAAGGUAUUUGUGAAAUAAAAGAGGGUGUUAACAGAAAUUAUAUGAUGCCGUAAAUUAGUUAAUAGGCUUUCUUAUUUUUAUUUUUUUUGGGUCCGAGUAUUUUCAAACCAGACAAUCAGAAGACAGUGGAUUCUUUCACUCUGUAGAAGUUGAUAUUGGUAGAUGCAUGAGUGUUUUCUGGGCAGAUGGCAGGUCUAGAUUUUCAUGCAGUCAAUUUGGAGAUGCUACUAUUUUUUAUACUUCAUAUAGAAAAGGAGUUUUAAGAGGAUAAUAGAAGGGUCCCAAUGGUUCCAAUUCCAAAAAAACAUAUGCCUCCCUCGGUACUGCACAUGAAGGCCGGGAGAGACUGAGUAGAGCUGACCCUGCGGAAGCCCAAACCAACUUGGGCAGGCCCCAGUCUUUAGCUGCAGGCCCAAUGAAUACUAUGAUUUUGCUUAUUCAUUCGGCUUGAAUGGGUCGGGCUGAGUCGAUACUAUUAAGUUUUAACACUUUCUUUCGCACAAUCCGUACGCUGCAACCAGAAAUCAGCAAGUAUUGGCAAUGAAAUAUUCAGUGCACAACUUAAAUUAAGUUGAUCAUGACAUAACUCACAUGUUUACCCUUAUAAAUAUUAGAGGAGCCCUUACUACACUCGUACGUAACCCAUACACAAGGGUAAAGCUAUUAAGGGGGCAGAGCUGGGCUAUAGCCUAGGCAAAAUUUGACAAAUUUUUUUAGUUUUUUUUUUUAUAUUAUAUAGUGCUAAUGUUGUUCACAAUUAAUAUGCAGUUUUUACAAAACCAUACACCACUGUUAUAUUUUAUAAAAACUGACAAAAUAAUGUUUAAAAGUUUAUCACUCAAUUUGUUUUAGAAUUUGGUAUGGUAAUAGAUCACGAUAUCUUUAUAAAAUUCAUUACAAAUAUUUCACAAUCGUCUAAAAUUUCUAAUUCAUAAUAAUAUUGUAAAUUCAUAAAAUUUUAGGAAUUAAAGAAAAUUUUUAAAAGCUGUUCAAGGAAAAACUUGAAAAUUACUAUCCAAUUGAUGUAUAAUCUUCUUUAGUAUCUGGGAAUUUGUUCCAUGGACAAUUUUUAGUUGUUCAGAAUGAUAUCUUAAAUGGUUAGUCAUGCCAUUUGAUUUAAAAGAUAAACCACAAGUAUUUCAAGAUUGAUAACAAUGGUAUUAUAUUAAUAACCCCAAAUGGAGAAAAUUUCUUUAAAAAAUUAACAUUUGUUCAAACACAUAUGGUGUCGUAUGAAAAGAAGUCAAUAACAAUUAAAAAAUAAAUAGAUAUGUAAUAUUUUGAUUCAUUAUUAGAAGAAGACAAUAUGGUAGAAAAUUAGCUAGAAAGAAAUAUUCACGAAAGUGAUGAGCUAGAAAACAAUGAAUUGAAAUUUUAGACUCAAUAAAAUUAAUCAUAUUUUAUUAUAGAUAGUACAAUUUUUACCAAAAAAUGAUGUGCAAGUUUCUAAAAUAUUUAUUUCAAAAUCUGAUUGUAAUUCUAAGUUGUUACUAGUUUUUGAUUCACUACUACUAUAUUCACUAAGAUUACAAGUUAAAUUUGUAUUUUUAUAAUUUGCAAGUAUAGGUCAAUUACACAAUCAUAUAAAAUUUCCAAUUCAUUGUUUCUAUCUCAUCAUUUUUGUGCAUCUUACGUUCUACCUUGCUUUUUUUUUUUUUUUUCCAUCGUAUUAUCUUCUUCUAACAAUAAAUCAAAAUAUUACAUGUCUAUUUAUUUUUUAAUUGUUAUUGACUUCUUUUCACAUGACAACACAUAUUUUUCAAAUUUAAGUUCAAAAAUGUUGAUUUUUUUUUUUUAAAAUUACUCCAUUACAUUACCAUUGUUAUCAAUCUUGAAAUGCUUGUAGUACAUUUUUUAAAUAAAAUGGCAUGACUGACCAUUCAAAAUGUCCUUCAGCACAACUAAAAGUAUAUAGAAAAAAGCCUCUAAAGUGCUCAAAGCUUUCAUCUUCAAGCCUAAUGGCAAUCUUCCUUGAUUGCCAUAAAAAAGUUAAAAGAAAGACAAUAUUUUAUUUUUAUUUUUAUUUUUAGCCGUGAAUUAAUAAAAAGAAAAUACUAGAAACCGUUGCAUCUAAAUCAAAUGGAUAAUUAAAUAAAUUACUUAAUCUGGCUUUAAUCAACAACACUAAGCAUGGAAAUUACUUUGAAAUAUUUUACGACAUUUUCACUCACUCGACUCACUCGUACCUCUAUUUUCCUUCGCUUGGAGUGCCUAUGUCAUCAAGUCGUCAAUGGAAGGGAGUUGGACAAAACAAAAUUAAAAGGGGCAAAAUGUAAAUGAAAAUAUUUUACGUUUGUUGGGCUAUACGACGACGUUCCAGCUUAAAGCGUCGUGUGGGACGCACGCGUAGUACGUCGUCGUCUGAUAUCCGAGUUUAUAUGCGGUUCUUUUCUUAUUUAUAGUCUCGUUGUCGUCACUUUGAGCAGUAUUAUUCUAGGCGUAAGUUAAAAACUGUAAAUAAAUAAAUAAAAUUUCCUUUUCUUUUGACAUUUGGAAAUAUUUCCUGAAAAUUAAAAAAAACAAUAUCCAUAUUUUAAAACAUAAUUGCCCCUCUUAUCCGUAUAUUUUUUUUGAAAAAUUCUGAUAGGAAUUUACAAACAAAUUUGAUUAAUAAGUGGACGCAUCCAUCUUACGUCAGGAAUUACUUGCAACACGAACAAACUUUCUAUUGAUGCCUCACAACUGCCUGGUAAACUAGUAAAUUCUCCAUCUCUUUUAUUUUUUAUUUUUAUUUUUUCUCUCUUUUAAGUUGUAUAAACUUAUGAGCCUUUAUAUCUAAUGCUAUAAGAUUUCACCGCUCAUGCGUCUAUACAAGACAAGUUUAUGAGCAUUGAGCAGUGAGAAUGAAGCGCUUGGGAGGAAACAACGAUCGAUGUAAGUUGUGUCCUUUGGCAUCGCAAUGUAUUCGUAUGACAUCUCAACUGGGUAUGUGUGUUUGUAGGAUUUCACUGUUUUAAAGCAUCCACAAGCUAUAUUUUUAGAUAUCGCCGUCCAAUUACAACUUGACUUUGUAAUUUGCUUCGCUUUACAUCCAUGGCAAGGUAUUAUUUCUAACACGUCUGUUGGGCAAACUCAUACACACUUAAUACACCCUAUACGUGUAUCAUAUAUUGUUUGGGAUAUUAAGUUCUAACCAACAGGCAACCAGGUAGAGAGAAGGUUUCGUUACCUGGUUGCAUAUAUCAACACGACCAGCAUGACUCAAGCAGACUAGGAACUGGUCGCAUGAUCUUUACAAGCUAAGUCAAGAAAUUCCAUUCAAAGAUCUAUCUGCAACGUCCAAGCGUGUUUAAAACACAAUCAGGCGUUAUAACGGUUGAACAAUAACUAUGCAAACGGACAUAUUAAUUUACACAUUUAAAUGGUGUAUUCAAUACAUUCAAUUAGGUAACGACCACACGUUGAGGAGUAACCAACACCUGCGGUCGUCUAUAAAAGCAAAAAAAGAUAUAGAAAAAAGGGUAUUUUUUAAAAAAUAUAUACAAAAGAAUACAAGUGAUAUCAUUCUUCCCAAUACAGAAAUCACUUAUUUGAGUGUCGGAGGGAAACGCCGGGAAAAUCCAACACCCCUAACAGUCAUUCUUUCUGUUACAAGUUAUAAGAAACAUAAGGAUAUUUCAAUAUACAUAAUAUCAACAAGAAAGCACCAUCAGGUUAGAAUAAAUUUAACCGUUGACAAAGUAAUCUGGUCAUCAUUAUCCGCUCAACCAGAUUUCAGCAUCAACAUAUAUAUAUCUUUACUAAAUCCACUCACUACCCAACAUAGUAAACGGUAAACAAACAAUUAAUUAAAUUGGUAAAUAAAGGUUAAUUCCCAUCACACAGAACUGGGAAUAGCUCAACAACCAAUCACUGGUAAAACCAUGCCACUAUGUCACAUAAAUCUAUCUUAAAAGCGUACAAUAGAUAAUUCAACUUGUUAACGGAUAUUUUCUCUUUAUUAGUCCUUAGCAAUGCCACAAUUGUUUUCGAGUUAUCAGUUUCACAUUUCUCCACAUUCUGCGAUUGUGCAUACCAGUUUAGGCCAGUUGUUGGGUCCGGUGACCACAUUCUCGAUCUUCCCAACAACCAAAAGACCAUCUCCGAGCACCCUCUACAUUAAAGUUAUAUUUACCCAAAAAAAAAAAGCAUUUUAGAGGGACUAUUUCAUCAGUAAGGACUCAAAAAGCCAUUGAAAUAAACGAAAAAGGAAAAAAAUGGAUUGCCCCAGGCAGCAAAAUGGUAUUCUUAUAAACAGGACUAUGAAUUAGAUCGUCACCCCUAAAGUUAGAGCUGAACAACCAGAACGAAUAUAGACAGUCAAGUAACAGCACAGACAUCCACGCAUCCGUAUAAAAGAUUGAAAGAGCCUAAAUAUAUUGAUAUACCAAUGACUAUAUUUACUUGAUAACUACAAUUCAAGCUGAACCAACAGAAGAAUACAUAAGCAUUUGGUAAAGAAACUCAGUUCUUCCAGUGACAUUCGAUGAUGUUUAGAUCUUUAUAAUUUAGAUUUAAUAAUUCUUGGCGAGCAACAAAAUCAUCAAUUUAUACCAGAAAAUAUUGUGCAAUUCUGGCUCAUGGAAAAUAUACAAUUGCGCCAAAAACAAUUAAAUGUGACGUACUAGAUACACUGAUGAUGAGGACAACAAAACAUUGGAGCACUUACCCCAAAUACAACGUGCUUAUUGUCAAGCCAGUCACAUUUUGCACAAGUGAUAAAGAAUUGCAAUGAAAACAAGUGCAAGAAUGAAAACUUUAUGAUAUCUACAAGAUAAUAGAUAAGUUGAAAAAGAUACUCAAAACAUAAAUUCUAGUCAUACUGUUCAAUGUUCAGGUUAUAAAACAAACAACAAUUGACAACUACAUUUGCAGUUUAAACUUUUUUUGGUAAAAGGUAGCUGUCAAGUAGAAGCUACUUUGCUUCCGCAGAAAUUAAAUUAUUUUUAUGUCAACAGUAGAGGAUUAAAAUUAGAGUAACUUUAGAAGAAAGCUAAAAGUGUUCCAAAACACUAGCAGCUACCCUACAAUUAAAAUUAGAGUAACUUUAUGUGCCCUGGUGGCUGGAAAGUGCUGGUUGAAUACUACGACAGUCUGGCUCCAGCUGACAAUGGCAGAGUCCCCGUUCCAGCUUAGAUGAAAUUCCUGUAUGAUAAUGUAUUUGUCAUUUGAUUGGGAGAAACCUUACAACCGAUUUAUCUCCACUGUCAACUGUCACAUCCAGAUUGUGAAAAAAAUUCUGUGUCCAGAUUUCUUAAUAAAACCAAGCUGAGGCACUGGUACAGAGACACAAGAUUUGUCUCUUUCUGUAAUUAAAGUGCCACUCUUGUGGCAUCUUACGUUACACUGGCAUUCUCAUGUCCUCCAUGAGAUUGCGUUGUACCAUAUUUGUGGUUUGUGUUCCAAUGGAAAACAGAGGUCCUGGGUUGUCGCUUUUUAGUUUUAGAAUAUGGUCCAUUUGAUACUUGUGGAAUUUCAUUUUCUUAAAAACUUCAUGUGGGCUUUCAAUUCUUAAAGUCCAUAGGCAUCAUCGGUUAACAAUUAUUAUUACGUCUUCAUUGUAAGUGCUCUUGACCAUCUGUUUUCGCAUGAAGGAAAUAACAAAAAAAGCCAAACUAAUGGCACUGUACUACAGCGAAAACAGAUGGGGUGGUGAGUUCUCAAUUUAUCAAGUUCAUUGCUAACGGAAAGUAGAACUGUUUUCAAUUUUAUGUUCUGUUUUCUCAAUUUUUCUUUCUUUCUUUCUUCUCACAUACAAGAUACAAGCGUACAUAAAUAUAUGUUACACGUUCGAUAAAAUUACACGUUUAACGCCCUAAGUAUCCCCGGUGGGUGCAUGCAAAUACGCAAUUAUGUUGGUUCUUUGGUUUCCUUAAUGACUAUUUGAUGAGCUUUCAAUUCAUCUGCAAGGGUCAAAUGUCUUGUACCCAGGACUAGAAAUUAAAAAGAGACACAAGUCCACUCUUCCAUUCUCAGGGAAAAAAAAUGGGGAUGUUUUAUGAACUAUGGUGCUUUUUAUUUCAAGCACAUGUGCUAUAAAUAAAAACUAAUCAGCUGCAAAAUCUCAAUAUGACAUAUGUACGGGAAAAAUUUAAGAAUUGCUGAUAAAAGAAUUUAAAGAACAAUCUAUAACUAGAAGCCUACUUCUUCCACUUGAGAUAGCUGAAAAACGGUUUCUCUGGCCAAGAAGAAGCCGCGAAACCAAUACAUGCGCUCCAUUGGCCCCAGCUCAGCCUCUCUGUGUCUGCAAACUUCUUCAGAAAUUCCACCAUCACCACUUGAAGAACAAUGGUUGUCCCGAUAAUCCCCAGAAACAGCCUGUUCUUAUGUAUCCCCUCAAAGACAUUCUUCUUUUCAAGCUUCCUCGCGUUGAAUUCGUUGAAUACGUGGCAAAGGACGAAUGUGUUGAAGAUCAAGGUGUCCUUAAGUCCAUUACCUUCUCAUUUACACCAAAGAUGGAUUCACCUAUGAACUGUAAUGUCAAGAGGACUGCUAUCUGACAGAAAGCUUGGGCCAGAAGGUUCCUCCACAUGAUGUUGGUGAUAAGUGGCUCCGUUCGACCGACGGGUGGUUUACCUCCUCCAUAUCCAUGUUCAUCUCCAGGACAGCCCAAGAAAGAAUUGCUUUUUCAGUGGGACUGCCUGAAAACUCAACAUCAGUUACUGAAGUUUCCCUAUAUACGCUGCCGGUUGUAUUCAGAGCAACUCCUUCUUGAAUCAAUUUAAUAAUAUUUGGAGAAACUGAUGAAGCAUCAGCUUCUUUUACAAGUUCUUUGCCGAGCCAAAACUUUGUCACCUUCAUCCGAUUUUCAGUGAGUGUGCCUGUUUUAUCUGUACCAAUGGUGGUCGCAGAACCCAUUGUUUCAGAGGCAGAGAGCUUCCUCACCAUAGCUUGAUCAGCCAUCAUUCUCUUCAUGGAAUAAGCAAGAGUAACCGUAACAGCCAAAGGGAGACCUUCUGGUAUCGCAACCACAAUAAUAGUAACUGUAGCAGCUACAAUCCCCACAACAACAUUCACUAUAUCGUCAACCUUUGUCUUGCUUCCAUUAUACUCCUGGUUUCCAUUCUCGUCUGUUGUAUUCCCUGUGAAGUAGCGAAGCAGCAAGACGACAAGAACCAAGAAAGCAACUGCCAAUCCAAUCUUACCUGUUGAUGAAGUUAGCUCGUUGAGCCGGGCUUGUAAGGGCGUCUGCUCACUGUUGCGCGGCUUAUUUGGCUCAUCCGUUGGCCCCAGGUUGUGUUCAUGCCAACGGACGUGGCAAGCAUGCGAGCAUAACCAUCAGCCACCUUUGUGCCAGAAAACAAGAAUAGAUUCUGGCUGCUGUUAACCUCCAGAUGAUCACUCUCCCCUGUCAUGCUUGAUUCGUCUACUUGUAACGAAUGGCCAUCUAAGAACAAUCCAUCAGCAGGUACUUGAUCUCCAAUCUUUAAACAUAUGACAUCUCCAACGACAAUUUCAAAGAUAGAUAUUUGUUGUCGGCGACCAUUUCUAAUGACAUCAAUUUGUAUAUUGUUGCUGACUUUUGAUAACUUGUCAAACUGUAGAGUCUGUGUAAAGUUGCUUCCAGCUGAAAUGGCAAUGACCAAAAAGAACAAGUAUGCUUCCACCGUCAUGCCAUCCCUCUUUCAACCCAUGCUCCUUAAUGCCGAAGGCAAGAGAAAGCACAGCACAGCCUAAAAGAAUCCAAAUGGUAAGAUCUUUAAGAGCGUCCACAACAAAGUAGAACAAGCUCUUGGAUGGAGGUUUCUUGUACGUGUUUUGAUGAAGAGUAGGAAUCCAUAUUAUACUAGGAUUAGUUUCCUUAUUAACUAAAGUUUAAGACUUUUAAUUUCCUUUCUAAUUUAGAAUUUUGUUUUUACUUCAUAAAUUAGGAUAAUUACUACUACUAUAAAUAGCUCCCUCUUGUAGCCUUUGAAGGCAGAAUUUUGAGUUCAAUAAUAUUUCAAUUUUCAAAUCUCUUUGUGAGUAUUUGAAUAGUUAAUUCUCGGUAUUCUGCGGAAUCAACGAGUCUUAACCCCUAAAUUCGCGGUAUUCUUUUGAAUCAACGUGAAUUUAGUUGUUCUUUUAUUCCAGUAUUCUCUAGAAUCAACAGAAUAUUUUGAACAUUAAACGUCCGCUGCAUCAGCUUGGUAUCAGAGCUAAAAGUCUAGUUCUAAAUUAUCCUUAAUACCUAUAAAAAAAACUGAAAACUGAAAACAGAAACGACAGUUGCGUCAGCCACCAUCCACGGCUGCCGGCGUUGAUUUUCCGUCGCCUUUUGGAUGAUCAGCCAUCACCAUCCGAGUCAGAGGACGCCGGCCAUCAAGGACCAGCCUUGCACGACGCCAUUCUACCCCUGAAAUUGUCGGAAUUUGCCAAAACCCGUGCGACGCCGCCGCUGACCGAUCGCCAAUUUCAACCGCGCGUCGGAAGCACCACUAUCAUCGAUCCACUCCUCGCCAUCAGUUCAACCUUUCUCACCCCUUCCCGCCACCGAUCGACGAACCAAUCGCAGGAAUCUAAGCCAACACCAAAUCGCCGGCUUUAUCUCCAAUUUCUGGCCAAAAAAUCACUUUUUUGGGACAAACCACCACCACCACCAUACUCACCAACCCAAAAUCUUUUAGAUUCGUCCCUCCUUGUCCAUUUAUUUCCAACCACCAUCGUCGGAAACCCCACCUUUUACUUAUUUAUACUUUUGACCUAAUACUUUCUUCUAUUUCAAUAUUACCCUUUAAUUUUAUGAUCUUAUCCAAAAAAACCCAAACAACACCAAAAAAACAUAAGGAAAAAAAGAGAGAAAUAGAAAAGAAAAAAAAUUGAUUCAUGAAACGACAACAUCGCCGCGAAGAUUUUAUCUUGAAAGAAGUAUUAAAUAGGAUGUUGAGGAUUUUAUGUUUGAUUUCUCAAGAUUUAGAGAAACUUCGAGAUUAAAAAUCUUUACACAUAAAGCAGGCAUAUGGAUUUGAUGAAGUUGUUCAUGAUGAUAUUUGUUAUGAGGAAAAUGAGGCAAAUGGUAACUUUGUUUCUCUUGACAAUAUUAUUCCUUCCGAGGAGAAUAUUAAUUGGCCAUUCAUGUCUACAACAAAUCCUCAACACAAAGACAUUGAUUUAGAUCAAUUGCCGAAAUUUGAUGAGUAUCUUGAUAUGGUGGGACGAGAAGAGGUAAUCGUUCAUCUAUUUUUUGAUCUUGUGGAAGAAAAAGAGAUAGUUGUUGAUACAAUCUCUUAUUGUUCUCUUGAUUUGCCAAAAGAAGACAAAAAAAAUUGUGAUAUUUUUCAACAGUUAGUGGAUUAUAGAGAAGAUAAAUCCUAAUGCCUACAGAUUAAAGCUUCCUAGUCAUAUCCGCACCGCAGAUGUAUUUAAUGUCAAGCAUCUUAUUCCUUACAGAGGUGAUCAUGAUGAAGAUGUUGUUGCUGAUAAUAUGAAUUCGAGGGCGAAUUCUCUCCACCUUGGGGGGAAUGAUGAAGAGUAGAAAUUCAUAUUAUACUAUGAUUAAUUUCCUUAUUAACUACAGUUUAAGACUUUUAAUUUUCUUUCUAAUUUAGAAUUUUGUUUCUCUUUCAAUUUAGGAUUUUGUUUUUACUUCAUGAAUUAGGAUAAUAACUAUUACUAUAAAUAGCUCUCUCUUGUAGCCUUUGAAGGCAUAAUUUUGAGUUCAAUAAUAUUUCAAUUUUCAAAUCUCUUUGUGAGUAUUUGAACAGUUAAUUCUCGGUAUUCUGCGGAAUCAAUGAGUCUUAACCCCUAAAUUCGCGGUAUUCUUUUGAAUCAACAUGAAUUUAAUUAUUUUUUUAUUCCGGUAUUCUCUAUAAUCAACGGAAUAUUUUGAACAUUAAACUUCCGCUGCAUCAUGUUUGAACCAAAUGCUUCACGUCUCCAAGCAAUAACUUGAUCACUGCGGCAGAUUCCAGCAUCAAAAUAUGUUUCGAGAGCAGAGGCUACGCCGCGAACCCCACCAAACUUAUGAAGUUCGUCGAGAUCUUUCAUCUUCACAAGCUCAGCAAGACUCGUUUGAUCAAUCUUGAAUGAUUCAUCUGUUGUUGAAGAUUUACAACGGUGUAAGAUGGAGAGCGAGAAACCUUGUUGAUACCCUUCUUGGCUUUAGCAAUUUCGGCUAGUGAGAAAAGUGUUCUGGAGCAAUAGAUUUUAGUGAAAGCUGAGUGCCAUUUUUUGGUGGACACGUUAAGGGUGGCCGGAAAAUUAAGUAAAGACUCUAUGGAAACAGCGUUUGCAUGGAAAAUGGUAGACAUAGACAUGGUAGUAUGAUUGAUGGGAACAAAAUUGAAAAUAUAAGAUCGGAGAAUACUUAGCAAUAGAUAAGCAAAUAACAAAACGCUGGGUCGCGGGAGGUGAAGAGCUUCAAUUGGUUCUUAUUUAUACGUGCAAGGUGGCUAAAUCGGGCUAAGUCGGUUUGUGUGAGAUUCGCUGGGAAUAACGCAUAGAAUAUCUAUCAAACAUUUUUGUAGAAUUUCUAUCAAACAUUUAGCAUUUUUGUGGAAUUUCUUGUUGAAAAUGUGAUUAAAAAAAAGCUCAAAAAUUGUGGUUUCAAAUUGGUGGCUUAAUCACUAAAUUUAUUGAUCAAAUGUGAUCAAGAGUGGUGGGCUUGAUUUUAGGCAAAAUUUUGCCUAUAAAAAGGAAGCUCUCAUUUGAGAGCUUGGCAUUCUAAAAUCCCAGAAAAGCAAUCCAAGUUUUGGUGAGAAAUUGGGAGAGAGAAAUGUUCUUAAGCAUGUAGUUAUAUUAAAGGAGUAUUUGACUUCUUAAUAUGGGUAUUACAUGUUUAUUUUGUUAAAGAAUAUUUCUCGAGAUCAUGUAUUUGGGGGAGCAUUUGACUCUUUAAUAUGGGUAUUACGAGUUUAUUUUGUUAAGGAAUAUUUCUCGGGAUCAUGUAUUUGGGGGCUUGGGUGAGAGAAAAUUAUUUUUAAGAGUGUAGUUGUAAUAAUUUUUCACAUAAUGAAUAUUUUUCUCUGGUUGUCUUUGACAACAACUGUGGUUUUUCUCCGUAUUUAGAGUUUUUCACGUAAAUUUUGUGUUGUGUGAUUGAUGUAUUCUCAAUUUAAUUUUUCUAUUAAUUUAUUACUUGACAAAUUACUUGAAAUGGUAUUUUCCAAAUAGUUUGUGGUGAAGAUCAAAGACUGAUCUAUAAAGCAAAUAUGUCAGCAACUAGUGUUUUUCAAACUUGGAGUUUGAUGUUGUUGAAAAAUUAAUGGGAGAAUGAUUUUUUGUUGGCUUGUGGAGAAUUCAAGUAAAAUGUGUAUCCAAUAUAGUAUGCACAAGGAUUUGAAAGUGUAACAAUUUGGCAUCUCAAGGAAAUUGUCAAGAAAGUGGAGCGAGUUCGGCAAAUUGCUCCAGAAUCAGUAAAGGAGAUAUUGAUAUUCUCGCAAAUGGUGAGUUUCCUUUUAUAAGAGACUGGGUUAGUUCUUCUAGCAUGUAGAUCUCCAAGUUGCCAUGAAAGAGAACAUAUUAUUAUCAGCGGGGUCCAUAAGUUUGCACGCGGGCAUUGGCUUGGUAUAAAUGCAAGGUGUGUGGUGGAAAAAUUAUGUCAUGUCUGAAGAAUUCUUAGGGAAAUCAAGCAUGAUAAUUACACCAUAAUUUUCAACGGAUAUGUUCGACAUGUGUCGAAAAAAAUCUUAAAAUGAUUGAUUUUAAGUGGUAUACUCUUUAUGGUGGAGUAUGAUAAUUCUCUAUGUUGAGAAUUAUGAUUGUUGGUGAAGACAUUGCUUUGUAGCAGUGGCUAUGAGUUUUUUUUUUUAAUCAUGGUGGAGAUUGUUGAAAAUGUGAUUAAAAAAAAGGUAAAAAAUUAUCACUUCAAAUAUGGUGGGUUAAUCACCAAAUUUAUUGACCAAAUUUUGUUGAUCAAAUUUGAUGGCUAAGCUCAAUUUCCUAACAUUUCUAUCAAACAUUUAGCAUUUUUGUAGAAUUUCUCCUAUUAGUUGAGCAAGCAAGUUUGUGAGCUCCGUGGGUUCCACUAUACCGAACUUUCUAUCAAACAUGAGUCAUCUAGGACUCACAACAUGUGGACCUCAGUUUUUGUCAUCCUUUUGUCCGCGAGAUUGAGAGUCUUGAGUGGUAAUAUUAAUUUUCUACAAGAACAAAUUUAAAAUAAAUAAAAUUUUAUUAUUGCUACGUGAACUUUCUUCUAUAUUUUUUUUUUCUUAUUCAAUGAAAACCAAAAAUAAAGAAUUGAGAUCCUUUUUAACACUUAUUUGGUAAAUUUAGAUUGAGAAUUAUGAUGAUACUCCUACAACUUGAUGUAAUUUCUAAUAUUUUCAAAUUCAAUAUACUCUGUUUGAAGAAAUAUUAAAUAAUAAUAACCGAAAAUAAUAUCAAUAUUCGAUCUUAAUCUUGGUAAUGCCUAAGUGGUGAAAACAGCUCUAUACGAUUUAAUAAUUAUGCACAUGAUCUCAAUUCCAAUGUUUAUAAAACAAUAUAAUAUCUGAUUUGUGUUUAUGUGUACGUAUUAGUUUUAUUUUCUUUGUUGGAUGAAACGAAACCUUUGCACUUUUUUAACCCAGCUAAAAAUGUGAUAAAUGUGGAACACUUAUAGUUGGGUCUUAUAUUAUUACUCUUGUUGAUUUAAUUUAUAUCUAAAUUUACUUUUGUCUUAAGUGACAUGACAUUAUGAUGAAAUAUAAUAAUUAGUAAUCUUAUAAUUUACAGAAACUUACCGUGGAUGAACGAUACCUUAAUUAGGUAUCGAAAAAAAGUUGAUAUACUAGUUUUAUUAUAUUAUACUAAUUAUAUUAGUGAAAAAAGUCGAAAAAAGAAAAAUUAACUCAUCUUAUAAAUAAAAUAAAUAAAUAAGAAUUUUAGACUAAAAUAAAUAUCCAUAUUCGAUCUUAAUAUUGGUAAUGUAUAAAAAGUAAAAACCGUUCUAUAUGACUUAAUAAUUCUGCACUUCAUAAAUAAAUUUUCAUUUUGAUUUUUUCCAUUCUUCAUAAAUAAAUUUUCACUGCAUCACCGCAGCCAUAUAACAUAUUCUAACACUGGACCAAAAUGCCACCAGAAUACCAGAUUCAUGAGUUUCAAAUGAUGCCGGUUUAUCUAAUUAUAUUGGUGUCUCUCACGUUUAAAGAAGCAUUAUGAUUACGUUCAUGAAUUAUAGAUGUUGACGCUAAAAUUUGGUCGAGUCAAUUAGCGGCUUGAUACCAAAUCUCUAAGCCAGCAUUAAAUUUAUGUGUUGGGGAAGAUCGCCAAGGAUGUCCUGGACCAUUAGCAAAUAAUUAACGAACACCUAAAAUUACAAAAACACGGGAAGAGGCCCCGAAAUUUUUUUCAGCAUUAACCUUUUGAUGCUCAAGUUAAUAUAUGAGUCUACAAGAAAGAUGUUUGAGGGAAAUACUCCGACGAGACCAGACGUGAUGAGUAGAUGUUUGGUGGCAGAAGUCUGCGAGCAGGUAUGUCCUGUAAGAGCCAGGUAGCAGGGGAACAGGGGCAGGAAUAUCCUGCUCAUCCACGAGCACGUCAUCUGCGAGGCCAAUUUCCUGUAAGAGGCAUAAAGCCAUUCCUACUGUAUUCUCGCUGAGGGUUGAUUCGAGGAGACCCGGUCAACGACAGUUGGCGAGGCAUACUCUCCAGCCCGAGAAUCUAGGCACGAAGGCCAUGCAACCACCCACGACUACGGAAAUGGGGAAUCCACGUUCGAGAGGUGGGAGAAUAACGGGCGUAGACUGCGGAAAACUGGGAUUCAGAGGAAGCCUAUAAAAAGGUAGCCAACGAAGGUAAAAGGGUUAGCAAUUUUGAGAUUAGAAGAGAGAUAAAAGAAAUUCUAAAGAAGAGAAAACUACCCAAAAGCCAUAAGAUCUGUGGCAAGUGUUCCCCGAACCUUCAUAUCUGACUUGAGCGUCGGAGGGUUUGCGCCGGGAAAACAACCGGCGUACUCUGACAUGUCUGUGUGCGCAUGAACCUCUGGAGAAGAAGCUUUACGAGGAGAGAUCCUGGUCGUGGUGAAGUUGAUCGAGCAGAGACUCUGGUCGUAGAACGAGGACAACCAGAAUCUCGCAUCAACAUUUUGGCGCCGUCUGUGGGGAGCUGAUCAAAAAGCUUCUGUUGAUAGCAAGAAAAGGAGUGAAGCAAGUGAAAAGCAAUGGAGACAGGAGGAAGUAGUGCACAAGGGGGUGAUAUGAGGCUUAACGAUUUUGUGACUCUGAGGGAGAUAGCCAGUGAAGCACGGGAAAAAGCCAUGUUCGACCGGAUGGAACGAAUGGAAAAGCAGAUGGAGACCCUGACAACCAUCCUGCAUGAGUUGCGGAGUGAACGAAGGGUAACCCAGAAGAAAAGGAUGAGAGUUGGGGGAGUGGCUCCAGGUCCCGAUAGUACGAGGAGAAGUCAAACCACCGGGAGAUUUGGUGGUGAGAGAGGUAACAUACCUCUGCGGGGAGAAUUCCGUAGAGAGGAAGAGCAAUCCCCGGCAAGACAGAUUUUUGACGAGGACGACGGGGUGGCAAAUGCAGAGGAAACAGAGUUGAGGCAACACUUGCUUGAUGUAGAGCAAGAGCGGGAUCAAGUUGCAGCACGUGACCCUGGUCGCGCAGUGCAGCUGGAGGAGGAAGUGCGCAGACUAGCGCAGAUAAUUGACGACAUGCAAGGAAGGAGCAGAGCUCCUGGUUGGAGGAUAAUGCUGGACGGAGAAUCACCGCUCGCAGCAGAGAUCAUGAGGGCAGUUAUUCCGAGAGAUUUCCGCCUCCCAGACCUUAGGUAUUCGGGACGAACGGAUCCGCUGGUGCACAUAGAGCGUUUCAACGACAUAACUGGGGUACAAGGAUUAUCUCAAUCCCAAAGGUGCAGGGUGUUCCCACUAUCCCUUGAGGGACGUGCACGAGAGUGGUACAAGAAACUUCCUCGGGGGAGCAUUAAAACCUUCAAGCAGAUGUGCCAGGAGUUUGCAGAGCAGUUUCGUGGGGCAAUGGCACCAGAAGAUGACAUGAUGGAGCUGAAAAGCAUGAAGCAAGGGGGGCAAGAAACCCUUCGGGAAUUCAUCAAGAGGUUUCAUCGUGCUGUCCUCGAUUUGGGAGCCUUCGACCAUCCUCAGGCACUAAGGGGAUUGAAAGAGGGAGUGAAGAUAGGAAGGCUGUGGUACAACUUGAGAAGCCCAACUAUUCAGACGUAUGCAACCGCAUACGAGCAGGCUAAAAGAGACAUAGAGAUCGAUGAAGAAAAGGCAGCUCGGAUUAAGACAGACCAGCUGGAGGGGCUGGAAAAGAAAGAAAAUAGGGCAUUACCGGGAAAUGGGCCGAUCAGGAGGAGGGACCUCCAGGCCUCAGGUAGUGGAGCAGGAGGUCGGAUAACAGCUCACCAGCCUCAUCAGAGGCCACCACAGUAUCAGCGCAGCAGGGCGCACCCUCCUCGUUCCCCAGCUAGGGAGCCUUGGAGAAGGCAUGAUUUGGCAUAUGGUGGUCUUCAUCAACACUCCCACAGUAGUAGAGGGAGCAGACCAGAAAUGCUGCCAUCGUCUCCAACUCAGAACAGAGCAAAUAGAGAAAGGGCUGUGCACCUGAUUGACCAGAACCAGGAGUAUGGGCGAUACACUUCCUUGAAGAUGUCCCUGGACGAAGUAUACGAGGCCAUAAAGGACCGAGGAUUGCUGUACCUCCCUGCCCCAAUAACAAAGCUACCCGGCAGGAGGGAUAGGGGACGCCAUUGUAAGUUCCAUGGCACUCAUGGCCAUACCACCGCAGAAUGCAAAGAUCUCAAGACCCAGGUUGAAGAUUUGGUGAGAAAUCGGUACCUGGACGAGUUUGUAGAUGGGAUUUUCCCGAUGGUGGCCUCGACAUGUGAAGGGGAGCAGAGUGGCAGAAAUUUGAGGCACGAGCAGCCUACAGUAAGGGUGAUUGCUGGGGGCCCGACAUUGGCUGGAGAUUCCAACAGAUCUAGGAAGAACUAUGCUAGAUACGCCAUGACUAGUAAAGAGGUAUUCUUCAACACCCCAGCAGCCAAACGAGCAAGGGUCAGGCAAGUGCCAAUCAUGUGGACGGAUGAAGAUGAGGAAUGAAUUCUAUACCCCCACGAGGAUGCUUUAGUCAUCAAGGCUACUGUCGCUAGCAAGAAGUGUGACCGGAUACUGGUUGAUACAGGGAGUUCAGUUGAUGUGUUAUUUAAGUCAACCUUGGAGGAGAUGAGAAUAGCAGACUGCAAGUUGGAAUACACCAAUACCUCCUUGAAGGGGUUUGGAGGAGGAAAGCUGGUCCCUCUGGGCGUGGUCGAGCUGUCUAUCACGAUUGGGAGCUCCCCGACAGAAAGGACAAUGAUACUGGACUUUGUGGUAGUGGAUGAGGAAGGUCCUUAUCAGAUGAUCCUAGGUCGGCCAUUUCUGAGGAUGAGCAAAGCGGUGCUGUCCAACCAUUAUCUGGCUCUCAAGUACCGGGUGAAUGGGAUAGUUGGAGUGGUACGAGGAGACCAGAGAAUCGCACGAAGCUGUUACUCCUCGGCAGCAAGGGAAGCAAUGCAGAUAACAUACCUUGAUACCCGAGCGGAAGCCGGGAAUGGCAGCUAGUUGGACCCGGAGUUUACAAGUUGGUUCGCACGGAGGGCUACGAGGUGAAACGCCCCUGAAGCGCGGCACACCUCAGGAAAUAUUUCUAGUAAGACUUAUUCAUGUUUUAAAGUUUUUUUCUGUUCGUGUCCGUUGUUUUCUAUUUUUGAUUUCUUAUUUCAAAGCAACCUCAUGUAAGCCGAACUCAAUAAUAAAUGAAUCAAUGAGGAAUUUCAUUCGCUUGAAACUGUGAAAAUUUCCUAAGGCAUGCAAAGGCUCAGUAAGUCUCAAAGCCUGUUUUAUGGCGAGACAGAAGCCAAGCGUGCCAGGAUCUGCUCGACCACGAGAAGGCGAGCAGAAUCCCAAUCCUUGAAGAAUUGAAGGCAUGCAAAGGUUCAGCAAGUCUCAAAGCCUGUUUUAUGGCGAGACAGAAGCCAAGCGUGCCAGGAUCUGCUCGACCAUGAGAAGGCGAGCAGAAUCCCAAUCCUUGAAGAAUUGAAGGCAUGCAAAGGCUCAGCAAGUCUCAAAGCCUGUUUUAUGGCGAGACAGAAGCCAAGCGUGCCAGGAUAUGCUCGACCACGAGAAGGCGAGCAGACUCCAAAGCAUUCAAGAAAUUAUCAAAGGCAUGCAAAGGCUCACCAAGUCUCAAAGCCUGUUUUAUGGCGAGACAGAAGCCAAGCGUGCCAGGAUAUGCUCGACCACGAGAAGGCGAGCAGACUCCAAAGCAUUCAAGAAAUUAUCAAAGGCAUGCAAAGGCUCACCAAGUCUCAAAGCCUGUUUUAUGGCGAAACAGAAGCCAAGCGUGCCAGGAUCUGCUCGACCACGAGAAGGCGAGCAGAAUCCCAAUCCUUGAGGAAUUGAAGGCAUGCAAAGGCUCAGCAAGUCUCAAAGCCUGUUUUAUGGCGAGACAGAAGCCAAGCGUGCCAGGAUAUGCUCGACCACGAGAAGGCGAGCAGACUCCAAAGCAUUCAAGAAAUUAUCAAAGGCAUGCAAAGGCUCACCAAGUCUCAAAGCCUGUUUUAUGGCGAGACAGAAGCCAAGCGUGCCAGGAUCUGCUCGACCACGAGAAGGCGAGCAGAAUCCCAAUCCUUGAAGAAUUGAAGGCAUGCAAAGGCUCGACAAAGUCUCAAAGCCUGUUUAUGGCGAGACCAGAAGCCAAGCGUGCCAGGAUCUGCUCGGCCACGAGAAGGCGAGCAGAAUCCCAAGCUUUGAAGAAACUACCUAAGGCAUGCAAAGGCUCGACAAAGUCUCAAAGCCUGUUUAUGGCGAGACCAGAAGCCAAGCGUGCCAGGAUCUGCUCGGCCACGAGAAGGCAAGCAGAAUCCCAAGCUUUGAAGAAAUUACCUAAGGCAUGCAAAGGCUCGACAAAGUCUCAAAGCCUGUUUAUGGCGAGACCAGAAGCCAAGCGUGCCAGGAUCUGCUCGGCCACGAGAAGGCGAGCAGAAUCCCAAGCUUUGAAGAAAUUAUCCAAGACAGGCAAAAGCUCGUCAAACUUCAAGGCCUCCUCUGUGACGAGGACAGAAGCCAAACAGAUAAAUAAAUUAAAAUUCCAAUGCGAGGAAGCAAAUAAGAACAAUCUUAUUAAGCUCUUAAAAGUUUACAAAGCUGUUAUAUAGAAUAUUCAAAAAGCAAUUACAGCACAAGAUAAGUUCAAGAAGAUGGCGGAUCAGUAUGCCGAGCAGUAUCGGUUGGCUGGACCUCCUCAGGUGCAGGGGGGUAUCACCAGUUGCGUCCGGGGGGGUGCUCGCCUCGCCAACGUCAGCAGGGUCUACAUGAGGAGGAGAGUUUUCCUCCUCGAUCACGAUUGCGUCUACCCCUUCGGCAUCCGCCUUUGCAGCCUCCUCGUCCAUAUGUUGGGAGACACCAGCUGCAAGGUCGUCCAUCUUUAGAUCAGGAUGCUGCUUCCCGAGGACGGCCAUGAUGCAACGAUAGGAAUGCCGAAGUCCCUGGUCGUACCGGUUGUCGGCCUCCUUCUCCAAGUUCUCGACCUGAGCUCGAUGGGAAUCGCGGAGAGAUUCGAGCUGAGCCUCAUACAUUGCCUUCUGCCUUUGAAGAUCCUCCCCGACCUUGGCCAGCUCUUCCUCGAGAGUAAUAGCCUUGGCUUGAGCAAGAGAUUCUCGCUCAAUCAACUUCAGAUUCUCGAGGUUUAAGUCCCCUGCUUUCUUCUCAGCAAUGUCAGCUCUGGUCGUCGCCGACUGAAUGUCCUUCUUCAUCUUCCUGUCAUAACGGCCAACCUUGGCCUUAUAGUAGGUGGUCAUGCAGCUGAGAUGGAAAGCACUAUACUGCAUGGCUCCUACCAGCUCGCCCAGGGUGCAGCCAUCAAAGUCCUCCAGGUCCUUCUUGCUCACGAGUUUAGAUAACUCAUUGAGAUAGGGGACCAAGUGUUCGGCUCGGCUAUCAGGAAAGCGAGAUCGAGGCCCGACAGGAGGAGAAGAGGAAACAUGAUAUGUGGCUGCUCCACUAGUUUCGCCGACUUUGGCAGGAGCAGGAGGUAAAGUCUUUAAGGGAGAGACUUGCUGCACGAUGUUGGCCCGCUUUGCCGUAGGGGCGUCCUUGUUCUGGUCCCUCUUCGUGUUUUGAGGUCGAGAACGUUUCCUGUUCAGAGCCCCAAUCACAGCAUCCUCCAUCUUAUGACCAGGGAGUAUCAAGCGAGACUCGAGCAAGUUGUAUAUAGUUAUCAGCUCCUGGCUCGAGCAGGAAUUGGCUAGCACAGCCUCGACCCAUUUGCGCUGGUCAGGUUUGAGCGAGAAAUGAACACCCCAAGAAACUACAACACAAACAGACACUUGGUUAGAGACAAACCAACAAAUCGAGAACAAUUACGGAUACAAGACAUCUAAAGCGAGCAGGCAACCUGGGACCGUGAAACGAGGUGGGACGCGAUAAUCCUUCCCGUCUAUUUGUGCAACUUGACCCCAAGGACCCCCAGCAAAAAAGAAUUUCCUCUUCCAAUUCCCACCACCACCAGUAGGGAGGUCGGUUAUGGGUUUCCUGGUCUUGGUACUAGAUUGAAAGUAGUACCAGCCGGCAUCUUUGGGGCUGCUCUUUAGCUGGUACAGGUGCUUCACCUCAUCAAUUGUGGGCUCGCUUUGGCAACAUCUGUCCCACAAUAUGAACAGACCAGAAAGUACUCUCCAACCGUUUGGGUUCAGCUGACCAGGAGAUAGAUUCAGCCCGUUAAGUAUCCGGGCAAAGUAAGGUUGCACGGGACACCUCAGCCCAUACUUAAAGCUAUCCAGAUACAGGGUAACGUAUCCCCUAGGAGGCCGGCUAGGAGUAUCCUUCUUUCCUGGGACCUUGAGAGAGAUUUCACCAGGAAUAUUAUACCUAAGCCGGAGGUCAUUGAGCUCAUCAAACGUGGUCAUACAUGUCAUGUAAUCAAUAGCGUAAUCCCGCGAUAGGGCUCUACCUCCUAUUGUACUCCGCCCUUCUGGUCGCGACACUCCUGAUGGGGACACCUCGCCAGAAUCAUCUCCUCGGCCCUCACUCAGGGUGUUUUCUGAGCCAGAAGACCCCUCUUCAUCAUUAUUUCUGCUCGAAGAGGUUGUUUGGGGAGACAUCCUCCUAGCGCUAGUGCCGACACCAGAUUUAAUGGGCUCUAAGGGGAUCCCGGGGUCAAAAGCAGGAUCAGUGAGCAGACUAGGCAGGAAGUCCAACUCAUCGUCGUCAACCUCAAUGACCUUCUCUUUACCUCUCGACAUUCCCUAAACUCUAACCACAACACCACCACCAACUACUACCCGAACAAAAGAGAAGAGAAAUUAUCUACAACUAUCCGAGACCAAGGAGAUAGAAGAAAUACCUGAAGUAAUGGUUCAGUCGGUGAAAGACAGAGAUGGAGGCCUGUAUGCCGGAACUUCUUUGCUGGAGAGACAGAGACGGAGACGGAGGGAAUGAUGAAUUUGCUGUUUGAAAGGAUUUAGGUUUCCUAAUGGGGACGGACUCUUGGGUUGCCAGCAUUUAACGGCACCAAAUCCCAAGGGCCUCGUAACCGUUGGUUUGAAAUUCGAAUAGAGGGGCAGAUUUCUGCCAUAUCACCUCGUCCGCAAUUAAAUGCGAUAUGACUCUUGGCAGCCUUUUCCAAUCCCACGCGAGCAAGUACUGUCAAGUUUCUACUGCUGGUCCACUACAUUAUCCAACACCAGAAACUGGGGGACCGGUGUUUGAGGGAAAUACUCCGACGAGACCAGACGUGAUGAGCAGAUGUUUGGUGGCAGAAGUUUGCGAGCAGGUAUGUCCUGUAAGAGCCAGGUAGCAGGGGAACAAGGGCAGGAAUAUCCUGCUCAUCCACGAGCACGUCAUCUGCGAGGCCAAUUUCCUGUAAGAGGCAUAAAGCCAUUCCUGCUGUAUUCUCACUGAGGGUUGAUUCGAGGAGACCCGGUCAACGACAGUUGGCGAGGCAUGCUCUCCAGCCCGAGAAUCUAGGCACGAAGGCCACGCAACCACCCACGACUACGGAAAUGGGGAAUCCACGUUCGAGAGGUGGGAGGAUAACGGGCGUAGACUGCGGAAAGCUGGGAUUCAGAGGAAGCCUAUAAAAAGGUAGCCAACGAAGGUAAAAUGGUUAGCAAUUUUGAGAUUAGAAGAGAGAUAAAAGAAAUUCUAAAGAAGAGAAAACUACCCAAAAGCCAUAAGAUCUGUGGCAAGUGUUCCCCAAACCUUCAUAUCUAACUUGAGCGUCGGAGGGUUUGCGCCGGGAAAACAACCGGCGUACUCUGACCUGUCGGUGUGCGCAGGAACCUCUGGAGAAGAAGCUUUACGAGGAGAGAUCCUGGUCGUGGUGAAGUUGAUCGAGCAGAGACCCUGGUCGUAGAAUGAGGACAACCAGAAUCUCGCAUCAACAAAAGAUACAAAAUAAAUAACUUCUGGUUUCUUAUGAAGAAAUAAUCUCAGGAAAACGUAAUAGAAAAAUAAAAAUUGAAAAGGAAAGUUGAACCUCCCUCUUUAUUAAUUCCCAUAAGAAUUUUUAUAGAGAUUGAAAUUUUACCCCCUAAUCAGUUUGUGAUCGGAGCAUAGGAUUAAGGAAAUGCAUUUUUUGAUUCCCCCUCUCUCCCUACCAUAAAAGACUCAUCUCAAUCAUAUUGAUUAAUUGAUCGUAAGUAAAACUUAACGGAUAAGUUCUGAUGCUCCAAAAUCUUUAAACACUUGAUACAAAUUUAGAAUUAGUCACACUAGAUUGAAUAAAAUAAUUAAAAAUUUGAGAAUGAGUAUUUUGAUGCUAGGGAUAAGUCCGAAGCCUACCUCAUGUUGCUUUCUCCCAUCUUUCUAUAGCCUUUGACAAUUGUGUAUUAUUGGUGUUUAAUGCUUGCAAUCAUCCUAAGAGAUUCUCUAAAAUUGUCGCCAUGAUUCACCUUGCACUAUGUUUUUUCUUUUUGAAUUAUCAAAUUUUUGAGUCACCAUGCCCACUUGGAUCAUGCUUUUGGACUUUGGAUCUUUUUGUGAACACCCUGAUUUAUUGCCCUUUUAUUCCAUUUGUUCUCCUCCACCCCCGGAAGUUAAGGAUGAGACCAAAAACUAAAAGUAAUCCCUUCACUUUCCUUCUUUUUCUCAUUUUUUUUAUCAUCAAGCACCAGUCCCUAGGUUUUAGUAUUGAGACAGAGACGAAUCAAAACUAGACACUACGUGAAGUUUAAAGUGACCUCGAGGCAACGUCAACGAAAUUUUCGAGAUUUCUGAAAUUAACCUUGCCAUGAGCAAACAUGUUUAACAAAUUCCAAGUUUCAUAUCUCACCUCAAGGAGGUUUUGAUCUUAUAACCUUUAUUACUUUUUAAAAAAUUACCUUGCCGCAAGCUAGCAAGUUGCACAAGUAUAAGGUUUUACAGAGGAUAUUUCUAGGUUUUAACCUUUUACUACCAUAGAGAAAUUUUAAGCAAUUCAUUUUGUUCGCCAUACCAUGGGUUCGUAUGAUUUUUUUAAGAUUUUAUGCUUUGCUCGGAGUAGGUUUCGAGACUUUUAACCUUUUAUUAAUUUAAGCAACCUUAGCAGCUCUUAUCAAUUUGAGAUUUUAUAUCAUACCUAAAGUAGGUUUUAAGACUUUUAACUUUUUACUAAAUCAAAUAACUUUUAAGUAAUUCUUGUCAGUUUAAGGUUUUACCUGAGGUAGGUUCCAAGGCGUUUAACUUUUUACAUGCCUUAGAAAAAAUUUCAAUAAAGAAAGAAAAAGAAUGAAUAUAUGAAUUAUUUCUUAUUGCAUCCAUUUUAUUCAAAGUCAUAUAUAGUAUAAUUUAAUCAGAAAAGAUUGAAGCAAAACUGAAACUGUGAUGUAUAUGUUACUGAUUCAUAGAAUGAUUUUUCGGGGGAGCAUGCUGAAUCAAAGAAUUAAUCAAGCAUCUGGAUUCGUGUCCAUGCAUGAUAUACUGUUAUGAUGCUUGACAGUCAAAUAAAUGUACACAGUUAUAAAAGCAAGUAAAUGACUUAUUGUAUAAUAGGAAAAACAAGAAUAUGGACCUAAUAAUGUUGCAUGUGAGAUUUCAUGAAUAAUCAUGCAUGUGAAUCAGCAAAUUCAAGAUAAGUAUAUGAUUUAAUUGAUCAAAUUGAAACAUGAUUAAGAGCUAAGUGAGUUUACCGAUAAUUCAGAGUAUUUUUCGGUAGACUUUUCCGAGAUGUCUCUGGAUAUGAUACUGACAACAACUUGAGGCAACAAAUUUGUUUCAAUUCUUGCAGUCACUUUGUCGGACAGCUCCCGUGUGUGAUUUUGAUUGAGCACUUUUAAAAGUCCUCUCUAAAAGCCUGUUUCCAAAAUAACAAACUCCACUUCUCUGCAUCCAAUUAGUAUUUAAAUCCUCAUUCCAAAUGAUUUAAUCCAUCACAAUUAUGCUGAAAUCGUGGCAUAAUCCAAUUGUAUCUGAGAUCUUAGCAUCUAAACUUGGAACUUAUGCAAAACUUUAACGGCAAGCACAUGAUCAAGAGUUGUCUAUAUGGCAAUAAGUAUGUGGCCACUAGUUUAUGAUAUGAUUUCAUAUAUUCAAUAUAUGUACAUUUUAAAUCUGUGCUCUGUAAUCAAUUUUUCAUGCUCAUGUAAAACAAAUCAUAAAUUGGAGUGGUGAGAAGCACACCGAACUUCUCCAAUCAGUAUGAUGUUAAUCCAUAGAUUUUACUAUAUUCAUGCAUAUAAAUUAAGCAAAUUCAAGCUAAUUAUUCCAUUUGAUCUACUACUCAGGCAUAGAUCAACCGUAAUUUAAUUCACCAUUCAAGAAACCAAAGUGAUUGCAUGAUUUUGAUUGACUAAAUGCACAUAAAACUAAAGUUGCUGAGAUGAAUUUUAUGCACAUAACACUGAAUGCACGCUUGUUUAAUCGGUCAAUCAUGCACAAAUUUACCAAAUUUACAAUUUAAACAAGCAGCUCGUAGCAAGUACACAAUUGAAUCUGAGGAUUAAAGUAAAAUUGAUCAUCAUUAUACUCAUGGAGAAAUAAAUUCAAGUGAUACCGAGGCUAUGAGAUAUAAAAUUGAUCAUUCAGUGCAAUAUAUCACGCAUAUAGAUGACUAAAUUGAAUGUGAUUAUCGAUUUGAAGCUUGCGAAUAUCAAAAUUUUGUUAGCUAUUACAGAUUCAAUUCAAUUCUUCCCUGUGGAUUUGGAAUUAAAAGAGAGCUUGCUCCGAUUUCGUGCAUGAUAAUAUUCUGCCUUCGCUUUGGCUAGCUGAAAAAUUAAUAGAGACAAAAGUUGGCUUUUUGUAUCGUUUCCAAUAGACGGUGCUAAAAUGUUGACACCGAAAUUUGGUCGAGUCAAUUAGCGGCUUGAUACCAAACCUUUGUGCUAGCAUAAAAUUUAUGUGUUGGGAAAGAUCGCUAAAGAUGCCUUGGACCAUUAGUUAAUAACCAACGAACAUAUAAAAUCACAAAUGAAUAGCAAGAGGCGCCGAAAAUUUUUUCGGCACUGAUCCUCCGACACUCAAGUCAGUAUAUGGGUUUACAGGAAAGAUAUAAAAUAAAUAACUUCUGGUUUCUUAUGAAGAAAUAAUCUCUGAAAAAUGUAAUAGAAAAAUAAAAAUUGAGAAGGAGAGUUGAACCUCCCUCUUUAUUAAUUCCCAUAAGGAAUUUUAUCAAGAUUGAAGUUUUACCCCCAAUCUGUUUGUGAUCGGCAGAUGGGAUUAAGGAAACGGUAUUUUUUGGUUCCGCCUCUCUCCCUCCAUAAAAGACUCAUCUUAAUCAUAAAGGAGCCCGCCACACCCCCCCCCCCCCCCCCCCCCCCCCCCCCCCCCCCCCCCCCGGGGAAUUAUUGCCCUUUUUUUUUCCUGUUUGUAUCCUCCACCCCCGGAAGUUAAGGAUGAAGUUAAAAAUCAAAAGAAGUAGCCCCUCCACUUUCCUUCUUUUUUCUCCUUUUUUUUCUCACCAAACAAACAAUAGAACAAAAGUUUUUGUCAACUUUUUUUCUUCUUGAUAGCAGUUCCGUUUUCAUUUCUCAUGCAUUUGCUAUUCGAUGUGUAUUUCAGCAUUGAGAUCUACAAGCACCCCAAAGAAGAAAGGAUAGCCCGAACAUGGAGGACAACUGCCCCUAGUCUACCUUAUGUUGACCAGGCUAUAACUUAUGCUGGAAACUGGCCGAUUGGAGGUGACUUGGAGGUUCUAGAACCAAUCAAGAUGGUCCUGAUCGUUUCCAAUUGUCACCUGCUCAACUUCGUGAAGAAUUCAGCAAGCCAAUGCCGACGCCGUGUUUGCUUUCCAGCGUCGGAAACCUGUGCACAAUAGCCAUGCUCUAUUGAUGACUGAUACUCGUCGCAGGCUUCUUGAUAUGGGUUACCAGAACCCCAUCAUCUUGCUGCACCCGUUAGAAGGCUUUUUUUUUUUUUUGAACUGAUUAAGCAUCAUGUACUGUAUUACACAGAUAUUUACAACUGUUAUGACAGCAGAUCAUUACACUAAUAUUUACAAUCAGAUAUAUAAUUAAGGCUUACAUUAUUACAUUUUUAAUUUUAUGAAGUAUAUGCUUAAUUAGACAAAUAACCCUCACGGAGGAGGGAUGUCUCUACUCCACUCGCAUUUCGUAAGGGGGAAAGACUUUACAAAUAAUCUCCACACAAUUAUAUUUAAUUGAGGGAAGUUGAGUCAAUGGGGACUCGAACCAUUUCCCUCAUCGUCUGCUAUACAAAGGCAGACGAUGUGUUGGUGGAAUAUGCUUGUGGGGAAUGACAAAUGCAGAGAAUUACAACUCUAUAUGUAGGAAAAAUAAUAAUAGUAAUAGACAAACUGUAGAAAAUAAUGUGUACUUCAAGACACGUUACAAAUAUCGAUUUCCUUAAGACAUCAUUUGCCCCCACCAAUUGAGUGAUGCAUAUGGAUUAAGCAAAUAUACUUCUAGAAUACAAUCAAGCACUUAUUUGUUUGCUUGCAUUGUGCAUCAACGAAAGCAAACCAGAAUACUCUUGAAUGUUGCAAGUCUGCCAAGAAAUAAUAUAUUGUUCCUGCAGAAAACAAUAUAUUGGAUUUUUUAAUGCAGAAAAAUAAGAGUUUUAUGUUGAAAUUCGUUCUAGAAAAGAGGGCUAAGAAAAGAGCGGUGUGAGAUCAUUAUUUUUCAUCUCUAAAUGACUUAAACAUUACCUCUAUUAAUAGACAUACUUGUGCCCCUUCAUUUAGGUUGUCAUCUUUUAUGAUACACCUUCAUUCAUGGUCAUUGGAUUAAGAUUUAAUUUUAAUAAAUAGUCCAAAUUGAGCCAUCACAAUUUCAAAUGAAAUGUCAUCAUAAAAUGAUACAUUUCCAAGUGAAAUGUCACCAUGAAAAAUUAUAUUCUUAAGUGAAAAAAUAUUUUUUCUAUAAGGCACAAUUAAUUAGAUAUAUCUUUACAAUAAAACACUAUUUAUUUAGACAUGUCUUUACAAUAAGACACCAUUUAUUUUGAAAUUUUUUUCCUAGCAUGAUGUUCCCCUUAGUUGGCGAAUGAAGCAACAUGAAAGGGUAUUAAGAUUAGCAUGUUAACCCUUCUCCGUACAUGGAUCUGUUUUGAUUAGCAUAAACAUCUGUAUUGAAUUUUUAUGCGGUACAUGGUAUAUACUCUAGAGCCUAGAGGUUAGCAUCUUUUUCUGUCUUUGUAAAACUAAAAUCAUAUGGUAGCUUCAGUUCUUGAUACUGAUUGAAUACCUGACUCUGACUCUGACUCAAGGGAUCUGCUGAAAAUAUUGUAAUAAUGCGAACUUAAAAAAAAAGGAAAUGAAUAUUAAUUUUCUGUCUUAUUAUAAAUGUGUAGGUGCUUGAGGAUGGUGUUCUUGAUCCAGAGACCACUGUGGUUUCUAUAUUUCCCUCGCCCAUGCACUAUGCAGGCCCAACUGAGGUGCAAUGGCAUGCAAAAGCUAGGAUUAAUGCUGGGACCAACUUUUAUGUAGUUGGUAGGGACCCAGCUGGCAUGGGCCUUGAGGCAGAGUAUGUAAAGGUACAGAGCAUAGCUCCUGGCCUAGAGCGGCUAAACAUCCUUCCAUUCAAGGUAUGUAAAGCAUUGGACCAUCACUAAUAGUACACACGUGGAGUUUAUGCUCAAUUUCUUUAGUAAUGAAAUUAAUGGUGUUAUAAUUAAAUUGGUUUUGCUUGCAGGUUGCAGCGUAUGACAAGACUCAAGGCAAAAUGGCAUUCUUUGAUCCUUCAAGGGCUCAGGAAUUCCUCUUCAUAUCAGGCACCAAGAUGCGAACGCUCGCAAGGAACAAAGAGAAUCCUCCGGAUGGAUUUAUGUGCCCUGGUGGCUGGAAAGUGCUGGUUGAAUACUACGACAGUCUGGCUCCAGCUGACAAUGGCAAAGUCCCCGUUCCAGCUUAGAUGAAAUAGCUGUAUGAUAAUGUAUUUGUCAUUUGAUUGGGAGAAACUUUACAGCCGAUUUAUCUCCACUGUCAGCUGUCACAUCCAGAUUGUGAAAAAAAUUCUCUGUCCAGAUUUCUUAAUAAAACCAAGGUGAGGCACUGGUACAGAGACACAAGAUUUGCCUCUUUAUGUAAUUAAAGUGCCACUCUUGUGGCAUCUUACAUUACACUGUCAUUCUCAUGUCCUCCAUGAGAUUGCGUUGUACCAUAUUUGUGGUUUGUGUUCCAAUGGAAAACAGAGGUCCUGGGUUGUCUUAAAAACGUCAUUUGAUGUUUUAGUUUUAGAAUAUGUUCCAUUUGAUAUUUGUGGAAUUUCAUUUUCUUAAAAACGUCAUGUGGGCUUUCAAUUCUUAAAGUACAUGGGCAUCAUCGGUUGACAAUUAUUAUUACGUCUUCAUUGUAAGUGCUCUUGACCAUCUGUUUUCGCAUAAAGGAAAUAACAAAAAAAGCCAAACUAAUGGCGCUGUACUACAGCGAAAACAGAUGGGGUGGUGGGUUCUCAAUUUAUCAAGUUCAUUGCUAACAAAAAGUUGAACUUCUUUUUUCUUUUUAAUUUUAUGUUCUGUUUUGUAAUUGCCAAGUUAUAUAUGCGGCUGUGUUUCUCUCUUUCUUUCUUUCUUCUGACAUACAAGAUACAAGUGUACAUAAAUGUAUGUUUCGUGUUCGAUAAAAUUACACGUUUAACGCUCUAAGUAUCUCCGGUGGGUGGAAGCAAAUAUGCAAUGAUGUUGAUUCUUUGGUUUACUUCCUUGAUGACCAUUUGAUGAGCUUUCAAUUCGUUUGCAAGGGUCAAAUGUCUUGUACCCAAGAACUAGAAAUUAAAAAGAGACAGAAGUCCGCUCUUCCAUUCUCAGUAGA